GAUGAACGCUGGCGGCGUGCCUAAUACAUGCAAGUCGAGCGAACAGACGAGGAGCUUGCUCCUCUGACGUUAGCGGCGGACGGGUGAGUAACACGUGGAUAACCUACCUAUAAGACUGGGAUAACUUCGGGAAACCGGAGCUAAUACCGGAUAAUAUAUUGAACCGCAUGGUUCAAUAGUGAAAGACGGUUUUGCUGUCACUUAUAGAUGGAUCCGCGCCGCAUUAGCUAGUUGGUAAGGUAACGGCUUGCCAAGGCGACGAUGCGUAGCCGACCUGAGAGGGUGAUCGGCCACACUGGAACUGAGACACGGUCCAGACUCCUACGGGAGGCAGCAGUAGGGAAUCUUCCGCAAUGGGCGAAAGCUUGACGGAGCAACGCCGCGUGAGUGAUGAAGGUCUUCGGAUCGUAAAACUCUGUUAUUAGGGAAGAACAAAUGUGUAAGUAACUAUGCACGUCUUGACGGUACCUAAUCAGAAAGCCACGGCUAACUACGUG
RNAcentral lists this ribosomal RNA (497 nucleotides) under uncultured bacterium. RNAcentral describes it as "partial 16S ribosomal RNA". It matches the Rfam family "Bacterial small subunit ribosomal RNA", at positions 28 to 507 of the family's 1533-position model. The record is from RNAcentral.